This 508-nucleotide ribosomal RNA is filed under the name uncultured bacterium. RNAcentral's name for it is "partial 16S ribosomal RNA". It matches the Rfam family "Bacterial small subunit ribosomal RNA", at positions 28 to 523 of the family's 1533-position model. The record is from RNAcentral.
GAUGAACGCUAGCUACAGGCUUAACACAUGCAAGUCGAGGGGAAACGACAUCGAAAGCUUGCUUUUGAUGGGCGUCGACCGGCGCACGGGUGAGUAACGUGUAUCCAACCUGCCCACCACUUGGGGAUAACCUUGCGAAAGUAAGACUAAUACCCAAUGAUAUCUCUAGAAGACAUCUGAAAGGGAUUAAAGAUUUAUCGGUGAUGGAUGGGGAUGGGUCUGAUUAGCUUGUUGGCGGGGUAACGGCCCACCAAGGCGACGAUCAGUAGGGGUUCUGAGAGGAAUGUCCCACACAUUGGAACUGAGACACGGUCCAAACUCCUACGGGAGGCAGCAGUGAGGAAUAUUGGUCAAUGGGCGAGAGCCUGAACCAGCCAAGUAGCGUGCAGGAUGACGGCCCUAUGUGUUGUAAACUGCUUUUAUAAGGGAAUAAAGUGGGAGUCGUGACUCUUUUUGCAUGUACCUUAUGAAUAAGGACCGGCUAAUUCCGUGCCAGCCGCCGCCGUAA